GCCGAAGUGAUGGAAUGGUAGACAUGAGGGAUUCAAAAUCCCUUGCCGAAAGGCGUAAGAGUUCGAGUCUCUUCUUCGGUACCA
Molecule: transfer RNA, 84 nt
Filed under: Ignatzschineria indica
Lineage: Bacteria; Pseudomonadati; Pseudomonadota; Gammaproteobacteria; Cardiobacteriales; Ignatzschineriaceae
Also listed under: 2 other names
Description: tRNA-Leu
Rfam family: tRNA
About the family: Transfer RNA (tRNA) molecules are approximately 80 nucleotides in length.
Source: RNAcentral